CCUACGGGAGGCAGCAGUGAGGAAUAUUGGUCAAUGGACGAGAGUCUGAACCAGCCAAGUAGCGUGAAGGAUGACUGCCCUAUGGGUUGUAAACUUCUUUUAUAUGGGAAUAAAAUGUUCCACGUGUGUGAUUUUGUAUGUACAAUAUGAAUAAGGAUCGGCUAACUCCGUGCAAGCAGCCGCGGUAAUACGGAAGAUCCGAGCGUUAUCCGGGUUUGUUGGGUUUAAAGGGAGCGUAGUUGGAUUGGUAAGUCAGUUGUGAAAGUUUGCGGCUCAACCGUAAAAUUGCAGUUGAUACUGGCAGUCUAGAGUAAAGUAGAGGUGGGCGGAAUUCGUGGUGUAGCGGUGAAAUGCUUAGAUAUAACGAAGAACUCCGAUUGCGAAGGCAGCUCACUGGACUGCAACUGACACUGAGGCUCGAAAGUGUGGGUAUCAAACAGGAUUAGAUACCCUUGUAGUC
RNAcentral lists this ribosomal RNA (460 nucleotides) under uncultured bacterium. Its description in RNAcentral is "partial 16S ribosomal RNA". It matches the Rfam family "Bacterial small subunit ribosomal RNA", at positions 338 to 795 of the family's 1533-position model. The record is from RNAcentral.